Molecule: ribosomal RNA, 75 nt
Filed under: Peromyscus maniculatus bairdii (prairie deer mouse)
Lineage: Eukaryota; Metazoa; Chordata; Mammalia; Rodentia; Cricetidae
Source: RNAcentral
GUCUAUGGCCAUACCACACUGAAUAUGCCCGAUCUCAUCUGAUCUCAGAAACUAAGCAGGGUCUAGCCAAAAAGA